UCACCAAGAACACUAUUAAAAGAACCGACGUCCCAAAACAUUGAACAGAUUGAACUACCUCAAAUAUUCAAUAAGAAAUAAACCUAAAUAAGUUAUUUAACAUACAAAAUGAUUAAGUGGAGUGACAAAGAAUACUGAAUUCCCUUGGAACUGGCAGAUGUCCAUCUUCCAAUCCAAAAAUGUUACAGUAUCCAUGGGAGAGCUAAAAUUUAGUGAUCCGAUUAUUUAUCUUGCCCUUCUACAACUUAGUGUUGACUUUGGUCUCUAAAUCCAACUCAUAAGAACACCGAGUUUUAGUUAUUUUCUCUAAAAAAUUUCAAUAUUUAAGUAUCUCAUAUUCUUCAACUACAAUAACAACAUAUUCGUAGUCCGAUAAGUGGGGUCUAGGGAGGGUGAGAUGUACAUAGAACUACCCCUGCCUUUGUGGGGUAGAGAUGUUUCCGAUGUUAUUUGCUAAGGUCAAGCUUUUUUUAGAUCAAUGUCAAUGCACUUUCAGAACCUUAAAAAAAAUUAUUCUCCUUAACUGAAGAGAUCUAUGUAUCACCUUAGAGCCUACGAAUUCAUAUGGUCUUCUUAUAAUUGCAACAAACUCAACUACGAAAAACCAUUCCCAAAAAAUGAAGGCAGUAGACUUCUCCUAGAGUACUAAUUGUAGCGGAUUGAUUUUACCUAAAGUGACUGCCGCAGAAAACUCUGCCUAUGAGAACUUAGGAAAGCAUAGUCCAGUUCAAAUUCAGAUAAAGGAAAGCUGUGUUGGUUAACAUCCAAUACAAAAAUAGGCUGAUUAUCAUGAAACCUCUGUAUACGGUCACUGCCGACACCAACUUGUUUAGGAUAAAGACAUAUACUAGAUUCAAAUUGAUUCCCCCCUAAAUGAGUAUCUCAGUAUUAUAUCAUUCUUUGAAGGUGAAGAUCUUAAGAGGGUGACCGUAUGUUUCUGCCUAGUCCAGUACAUGAUCUGUUUAAGAAAGCUUACGCAAUAACAAGCACCAAUGUAAAAUGCCAACCUUACAGAUUGGAGAUGUCUCCAACUUCACAAAAGAUUGGAGAUGUGUUUGGCUAAGACUACUACCAAUACAUCAAAAUGUGCAUCUAAGAACUGUGAUAUCACAAAGAAGGCGUGGCAAGGACCAAUUGAAGGAACCUCAAUAAGAAGAUGAUGGGCAUGAACAUAGGAUUACCAAAAAGUACAACUUACUUCUGCAGGAACAUUCCUUUUAUCUUCUAGAUCAGCCUUGUUGCCAGCAAGAGCCAUGAUCAAGUUAGGAUUACCUGCCACAUUUUCAGAAAAUUGCUUAUUUACUGAAACCCCAUCUAAACGGGGUCAUGGUUAUUUUAAAACAAAAUGUAGAUCAUUAAAAGCAAAGUUGAGACUAAGCAGAAAAAUAAAAGACUGAUUUUUCCAGACUUUUCUAGACAUCGUAAAGAGAACUGUUUGGAUAAGUUACUCGAAAUACAAGAAGAUUACAAUUUUCAAUUUUUAUAUCUAUAUAAAGUAAGUAGGUUGAAAGGAUGAGCACCUUGCUUCUGCAAUUCUUGCACCCAUUUCUUUGCCCUUGAAAAUGAAUCCUGAAUUAGCAGAAAACAAAUGAGAACAUCUCAAUUUAGAUGCGCAGACAUAUGCAUAAACAUGCAGACAUCCAAAUUACAGAAUCAUAAUCAUGCAAAGCCGAAGCAAGAUCAGUAAAGCAAACGUCAAAGAGAACAUGAGUAAGAACUCUCCCUCAUCAGUCCUAAUUCAAUGAAAACAAAAAAACUUCAUCCAAUGCUUCUCUCAUUUCAUGAGAAGUCCUCCCACCACUAAGGAACAAACUUUUCCACGAAAUCAGAUAUUCGAAAAUAGUAAACUGCAUUUUCUGCACUUUUUGUUUGACACUUCUAAAGUGGGUAUUAAAUACCUUAACCAUCUAAUUUUGUGAAAAAAAUGGGGACCCCCUCGUAACUGCAUUAAUUUAUAGACAGGGGCGGAGCCAGCCCUCUUUAGGGGUUCGUCCGAACCCUCUUCGACGGAAAAAUAUACUAUUUAUACAUGAUUAAAAUUAUUUUUUAGGUGGUUAUAGUAGGUGUUGAACCCCCUUCGACUUAGUUUUCUUUUAAUAUUGAACCCCCUUACUUGAAAUCCUGGCUCCGCCUCUAUUUAUAGACAGCGAAAGUCAUUUGCAAACAGUGGCGAAUUUAUGUGUUGAAAACGAGUCACGUGAACCCGUGGUCAUCCAACUAAAUUCGACAUACUAUUUUAUAAUUCUUAAAACAAUCUAGUAUUAUCUGAAGGUACUCACGGUCAAAAGAGAUUGAUUGGUGUACUGGUUGAAAGCCGGUUUAAACUCCUUUAGGUCAAGGGAUCGAAUCCAUUUACUGCUAUUUUUUUUUUUUUUAGCUUUUUUCUAAAGCAACCUUCUUUAUAAAGCUAACCCCUUCAUUUUACCUAAAUUGAUGAUAUUCUUCUGUGAUCAUAUAAUUAAUUAUCUCUUGCUCGCCAAGUUGUUGUUACUAUAAAAGUUUAUAUCUUUAUCUUAAAAAGCAAUGGUGCAUACAUCGUCUUGAAAUCCUAGAUUCGCCUCCGUUUGCAAACCAGCAUUAGAUUUUUUCCCCCUAAUUGGCUCUAAAAUCUGCCCUUUUCAACCUUACAAAUGCAUGAAGUGAAGCAAACAUUUGUCCUAAUGCGAUCAACCGUAAAAUAAUCUAAUAAACCAUCAUUGAAAACACUUAUAUUACCCAUUUGAAUAGUAAGUUCUCUGAAUUGGAAAUUGUUUCUUACCGAGCUAGUGAUAUCAUAUACAAUAAUCGCAGCAGCAGCUCCUCUAUAGUACAUAGGCGCUAAACUAUGGUACCUUUCCUGCCCGGCAGUAUCCCAUAUCUCAAACUUCACCGUAGCAUUAUUAACAGCCACUGUUGACGAAAAGAACGCCGCUCCGAUCGUCGAUUCCUGUAUUAUCAAUAAUCAACAUCAUCAUAAACUCCGAAAUUACAAAACCCUAAAAUUGUCAAAAUUGAAGGAUCAAAAGAAUACUUGGAAUUCAAGGAAUUGACCCUUUACGAAUCGUAUAACCAAGCUUGAUUUACCAGCUCCCAUAUCUCCUAACAACACCUUUAAAAAAAAAAAUCAAAUAGAAUUUUAUGGUUAUAGAAUUAAAAUCAUAAAAUUAAAUUCAUUAUCAAAAAAAAAAAAAAAAAAUACCAAUUUUGCAUUGAGGUUGGUGUGAGCAGUGGAUGCCAUGAAUAAAACGAAUUAAAGAUUGGUAAAAAUUAAAAAGCAAUAAGCGAAAUUGGAGAAUUUAGAGAGGGAGAAGGAUUUGUUUUUUUGUUAAUGAAGAAAGUGAAGAAGAAAUAACAAAAUUUGUUUAGAAAGCAAGAGAAAUGGACACCUAAUUAUAAUAUUCCACUGUUUCUUUUUGGACUUUUCUUCGCAUCAUCUCAUCCACCGACCGGACUUUUUUAAUUCUCUUUAUUUUAUUUUUUUCUAACUUGCACAAAAUAGAAAAUAUAAUUUUUUUAUUUUUAAAAAUUGUUGGAAUUUUGACGUCUUUUUAAAAAUAAAUAAAUAAAUAAUGCAGAAAUAAAUUUAACCAUUUUAAAUUUUGACCUCCUUUAAAAAAGAAAAAGUAGUGCAAAAUUUUUUUUAAAAAAAAAUCCAUAAUUUUAAGUGAAAUUUUGGGAGUUGUCAUGAUUUCUUAUUUGAUUUUAAAUAGAAUUUGUGCUAAGAGCAAAUUAUUUUUUAUAGGCGAUUUUAGUUGCAAAAUUUUUCUUAGUUAAGUUAGAAUAAUCGAUAAAAUUUAGCUAUAAAUUUAGCGAAUUGCUAAGAUAUUUUUAAUAUUUGUGACUAAUAUGUAUGUACAAAAAUUUUAGUAGAUUAUUUUUUUUUCAAAAUCGAUCCAAAUUAUUGUUAUUCGACUUUCAAUUUGAUAUCCAACAUUUUAAUAGUAAUUUCAAUAAUUUUAAGUUUAUUUGACUCGACUCAAACAUUUAAAAAUUAAUAGACCCAUUUUGUGUUCUUUUACUAACAAGAUCUAUAAAAACUCAUAGUGUUCUUCAAUUAAAAUCAAUUUAUAAGAAUCACAAAUAAAUUUAGAAAAAUCUUCAAUUUACUAUAUCACCCGUGAUAUCAACUUUUAAAAAAAGGCUAUCCUAUGUAAAAAAUUUAUUUUCUUUCUUUUGAAUGAUGUUAAAAGUGAGAAUAUAUUAUAUCCAGUUAUCAGAUUGUUUAUUGUAACUUUUUAAUUAUUGAAUUAUAUUUUUAAUUAUAAGUUGCAGCCUAGGAUAUAAAAAAUUACAAUAAAAAUAUUGUGAUUUUUAUAUGAAUUUAUUUGAAAACUAGGUUUAGACCCAUUACAUACACAAACUCCUUAUGUGUAUAACGUUUCAUUUAGUUUUUUUCAACUUAGUUUAAACCAUGUUAUAUCAAUAUCAUAUACAAAAUGUCACAUUUGUAUGAAAUAAAUAUAUAAACUAUGGAUUGUGAUACUCAAUUUAGCUAUACCAAUUUAUAUGCUCAUUCCUUAUCUCUUUGAAUCAAGAUUUUGAAUCUAUAAAAAAUUUCUUAAUCGUUGUUUUCAAAAACAAUUAAAAAAUAAGGUUUCAUAAUUUGUAUGAUGAAGAAAUUAAUUUUGAACUGAAAGAAAUUUAUGAGAAAAAAAAUUGUGGAGAGGAGACUAUAACAUAUUAAUUACUGCAUUUUUUUUCUAUGGAAGAUUUCAAAUAAUUUUGAGAAAAUAUAUUUAUGAAAAAAGUAUAGAAUAAAAUGGUAUCGAAAAAAAAAGAAAAACUAUAAACAACAGAAAUCCCACAUAUAAUGAAAGUAAUUACAUAGGAUCCCAAAUUUAGUUUCUCUUUUCCAGAUUUUAAAAAAUAUAUAUACAUGUCUCGGUAUCUUAUACAUUAGUGCGAGGUAAUCGUUUUGUCUAAAAUUAAGGAGAUAAAAUUAGAUAAGGUAAACUGUUUUUCCAAUAAUUAAGGAAAUUAAAUCAGCCAUCAUUAUUCUUUAACUUAAUUAACGAAACUCAUUAAUUUACUGAUUUGGUGGAUCCUUAAAAUCAGUAACAUUAAAUCAAAUUGAAAAAAUAUUUGAUAAUAUAUGAUAUUAACAUUUCUAAUGUAUGAGGUUAACAUAAUCAAGGUAAGUUAUGCUACUAUUUUUAAUAUAUAAUAUUAUCAUUAUAAUGUAUGAGGUUAAGUCAGUCAAAUUAAGUUAUUUUUUCAUACUCUAAUGUAUCAAGUUACAAUUUUAAUAUAUAAUGUAAAAAGUUAUUUCUCCAUUCUAAUAUAUGAGGUUACAAUUUUAAUAUAUAAUGUAAAAAUUUUAUGUAUAGGGUUAACACAAUCAACGUAAGUGAUAUUAACAUUCUAAUGUAUAAUGUAACCAAUCUAAUGUAUAAUGCAAUCAAUUUAAUGUAUUAGGUUAACAUCGUUAAGAUAAGUUUUGUUAUGUAUGGGGUUAAGACAGUCAAGGUUAUAUUGUCAUUCUAAUGUAUAAUGUAAUCAAUCUAAUGUAUAAUGUAACUAAUCUAAAAGGAUAGGAAGAAGCUGGAGGAGGUGAUUUGAGAAUUUGGGAGAUUCUAUAGUUUAGGUCACUGCGGGGAAGAGCGUAUCCUCGGGAAUCAGUUUGGAGUGUAGGGGCGCCAACUUCGACAGUGAAUGAAUGGCCAUUUUCGGCUUCUACCACAACCAUGUCGUUGUAUUUGAUGGCGAAGUGGCGAAGCUGUUGCAGGAAGGUUAGCUGGAGAUGGUGGAGCAAAAUAUGAAGACGGCGAAGCAGUUACUGAAAGGGUAGCCAGAGGUAUGGGCUUCAAUUAGCCUCGAAAAUAUUUCCUUUCUUUGACAACAAAUCACAAUCUUGUUAAAUAAACAAGUUGCACCAAUCAUGCCUUCUUCAGAUCUUCUUUCCCUCAAAAAGAAUUAUUCACACUCUGAUAUUUUAUAAAAAAAUCAAUAAAUACAAUUACGGUGGAGCAAUAAUGUAACUGAAAAAUUUGAAACAAGCUUGAUUUUAGACAUAUAAAAGGGAAUACAAUUAAGGAGCAAAAGACGGAUAAAUAUGGAGUAAUAUAUGGAUGUUUUAGUAUGUAUGAGACGGAAGAGAGAGAAAGACUAAAAGGAAGGGAUUUUAUAUAAUUAAUAGGGGACUUUUGUAAUUACUUUUCAAAAUAGGAAUUUUAUGUAAUAAGUAAUAGUUAACUUUGUAUCUAUGUAACUUUUAGUUUUUUGAUUUUAAAAGAAUUUUUUAUUUUUUUUAAAAGUUGCCAUUAAUGUAAUCUAAGAGUAUUGUUUUUGAUUUUUUUUCCUAAGCUAGCCAACCUAAUUGGGGCCAGUAAUUAUCAGUGGUCAUACAUGCCCAACGUCGGCACCUUGUGAGCCUGCAGGAGACCUCGCUGCAGACCCUUAUGCUUUUGGUUCUCUCUUUUAGCAGGUAAAUUUGUUACAGUAACUCAUUUCACGUCGUUUAAGGUGUUUUAGAAUAUUAAUUUGGUAUAUACCGCUAAAUGCAAUGCAGAACCAAUUUCCUGUUCAAGAAACCUUGGGUUGUAUACUUUGAGAUUUUGCAUGGUCAGUCGAUCAGAAAACUCGAUAUUUAUAGUUUGAGAUUUUUGCCUGGAGACAUAAGCGUUAAUUUAAUUAUUUAUAUAAAGUAAUAGUACAAACUGGAACACAUCACUUAAUUAACUUGAAAUGAAACUUGCAAAUACUAAGCGAUUAUUUGUCUUUAAUCGCUGUUAUUCUAGAAGAUACUACUUAAGCAAAAAAAGUUCUUUCAAAUUAAACUAGCAAAUUCAGAGAAAUCAUAAUCACAUUCUUGAAAUCUGGAGAGGAAAUGCAGCUUCGAGGGCCUCGUCCCUAUAGGAAACAGCCUGAACCAUUUCCAGACCUCCAUGUCUUUUGAUGAGAUGUCGGCGGCACGUUUCACCAGCCAUAAUUCCAGCUUCAUACGCACCAUGAACCGACCCCUGAUGAUCAUCACUGCUCACAGCUUCCCCUCCAAAGAAUAGAUUACCAAUUGGUGCCCGAAGCCUAUCGUAAGCAUCAGAUGGUUUUCCAACCAAGUCAUAAGAAUAACACCCAAGGGUGUCCGGAUCCGUACCCCAGCGAGAUACUAGAUACUGAACCUGUACAAUGUACCAGAUGAUUAACUACCAGCGCAACAGCUAUCUGUUGCUUACGAUUGCUUCUGUGCUAGCAUUCUAAACAGAACACAGUGUUUUAACUAGUUUACGAUGUAGGAGUGUGUAUCUAAUCAGAUGCAGGAUUGCAUGUAGUCUUUGCUUGUAAUCAGUGAAAGAGAACAUGCAUUCCCGCCUUUAAUCAAUGUAGAAAGAAAAUCUUUGAAGUAAAAUAAGAAACUAAAAGUAAGUGAUAGAAGAUGGAUGUUCUUCCUCAUUUUUCCUUCUAUUUUUAUAUUUCGCUCUUUUCUAUCCAAUUGUUUUGAAGGAAAAGUUUGAAGGAACACAAGUAUCAAACUUUAAUUAUCAACAUGAAAUGUGCACUCACCAAUUGAACUAAAAAUAGACCAAAAAUUAUCAUGUGUGCAACACUUAAGAAAUUCUGUCCUUUGUCAUCCAUGUACCUAAGAGUUAUAACUCCCCCAGUAUAAAAGAGCAGAGAUUACUUACAGGCUUAGUGGCAUCUGGGAAUAUCUUCUUCAACUGCAGCAUUGCAAACUCAACAGCGGAUUCAUCUGAUAAUUUCUCGAGGUCGCAAGCAAGUCUUCCAGCAGCCAUAUAAACAAGGACCUGAUGUCCUGUUGCCUUGUGCAGGUUAAGAAAAUAGCCACAAGCAUAUGAAGUGGGUGCAACAACACCUAACAAUUCCACGUUUGGCCAAAAUACGUUAUCAAAUCGUAAUGCAAUCUUGUUUUCAUUGCCUACACCAAGAUCUGCUAUUGCAGAUUGCUUCCAUUCUGGCAAUUUCGGUUCAAACUCAAUCAAGUUGGCUUUCAGAACACCAAGAGGCACAGUUACAAUAGCAGCAUCCGCAAUAAAAUUUCUCCCGUCCUCAACUGUAACCAUCACCUUAUUAUACCCAUUCAUAAUCCUCUUGACCCUAGUAAAAUUAGAUCCAUACAAAAUAAUUAGUUUCUUGUAAAAUAAUUGGAAAGUACUUUCUAAACAAUGGUUUGAAAAAUACCAUAGAGGAAGAAACAGGAAAUAUUCAUGUUUGGCUGUUGUGUAACUAGAAAAGAACUCUAUCGAGGAAACAAACAACAUUUGGUUUUAAUAUCUCAGGAAAUCGGGUAACCAGAAGUUUCAGAAAGUUGACCUCAUAUCUAAAAAAAGAAAUAGUAUUGUAGAAAUUCUGAUGGUUUAACAGUCAUUGCAAAUGUAUUGAGAAACAAAGAAAAAUCUGCACCUGUGAUUUAGACGGAUAUCAAUGUCUUUGGAUAAUGCCUUUAUAACUGGGUGGUAACCUUGCACCAUAAGUCCAUGGCCACCAGUGAGAACUUGUUCCUGUACGCAAAAUAUAACCAUCUAUAUCACAAGGAUAUAUAUAUAUAUAUCAAAUCGUUGUGCCCAAUUGGCAAUGUGGGAGUAGGUUGAAAUAAGUGACUGGUAGCUAUAACAACAUCUUGCAAAGCCCUUUUUAUUGCUUCAAAAAUUUCUUACUUCGCAAUAAGACCUUAACUGAGCAAGAUAAUGAACUUGGAAACUGCAUCAACCACCUAAUAAACUGCUUAAAGUAACAGCAAAUGAAAACACGCUUACCUGAUCCCAGGUUUUCAGAGAGAUCGUGUCUGCAUCUGCAGCAAACCAUGCCUCCAUUCUGCAUAUGUACCACUGCAACACCUCAUGGGAAAGCCCUUCUUGCCUACAGAACAAAUAACUCAAUAUGUAUGUGCAUGUAUAACCAGGUUCCACAUUCAACAGACAAUAGCAUGUAAAAUGAGAAGCAUUUUUGUCUGCAUACCUCAACUCUGGAUGCCUGUCCAGUACAAUAGAUAUUGCCUGAAGGACUGACAAGUCAUGACUAUGCUCAUUCCUCACUUUUUCAGUCUGCAUAAGCAAUACAAUUUAUCAUCACUGGUCUCUUUUAAAAAUCUUAAGAGGCACAGCAUUGUUGAGCAGUUCAAAAUUAAAGACCAACCUCACUGAGGAUUUUCUUGAAUACAUCUCCAACUUGAACAACUGUAUUUUGAGGAACUUGAUGACCAUCCAUGUCAAACAGCAUGAAGCUGUCAAAGGAAAGGAAAACAUAAUUAAGCUCUUGACAGAGUUAAUAGCAUCUCUAGGUAAUUUGCACAAAGAAAUACGAAGGGAACAGAAAAACAGCACAGGCUAAAAUUCAGGAAAUGCAGGAAGCUUUGAAACCAGACCACACGUAAACUCUGGAGAGGCAACUAAAAUCCGUUCCACCCAGGCCAAUCGUAAGUCCCUUUGAUUAUAACUCAAAGACAAACUAACAAAUUUGUUGAUUCUGAUUGGUUGAAUCAGGAAGAAGAUAAAGCAAGUAAAAAUUUAAUACCAAGAUUUGCCGAGAGAACAAACAAAAGGUGGAAGUGCAGGCUAAUUCAUGAUAAAAAUUAUUUAUUCAAUGUAAAUGUCAUCCAGGUUACCUUUCUAGGUCAUGGUCAUACAGCACCGAGUUAUCACCGCUAGUGCGAUACAUAGUGAGCCCUAACCGGCGAAUCAAUGGAGCCAAUGGAUUCUCAUCACACACCCCAUGGAGCCUGAAAAGAAUGAUUAAUGAUCAGAGCCAAUUAAUUGCUAACUAAAAGGCAUUAACAUCCAGGUCUGGAAAGACAAUUUGGGGGAGAAGCAUUAAAUUCUCUCACCAUGAUGCUCCCAUGUCAACUGGGCAACCAAAUGAGUAGUCAGUAUGUAUACGCCCACCAAGUCUAUCCCGUGACUCCAACAAGAGAACCUGAGACGAAUAUAAAAAGCAUUUCUUUUAAGGAUGAAGAAAUAAAAGAUUGUUGCAUGUGAAAGAGUUCUAAAUCCUGGGUAUGCGCACCUUAAAAGAUGCAUUCUGAAGGAAACGUGCAGCAGCUAUCCCCGAGAUACCUCCACCAAUCACAAUUACAGAUGGAGAUGAACUGCGUGGCCUACCUAAGCGGGGUGGUAAAAUGCCUAGUCAAACAAAAUAGAGGAGCAAAUUAAGUUCCACUGAUGAAAUCAUAAGAAUAAGCAACAAAACAUAUGAACACCCUUUACGAUGGACAUAAAUAUGAAGUUCUUCGUUUAUACUUCAACAUUCCAACAAAGUAGAAGCAAAUUACUUAAAAUGAAGAAUUAAGAUAAUGAAUUAGGAAAAAAUUCCUCACGAGGAGGCCAUCAAAUCCAUGUAACUCAGUAGAGAGAAAGACAAUGCUACAAACUGAAUCAAUCGCUCCAAAGUAGAAUGUAAUGCAGGUUUAGAAGUCUAUCAACUUCAUGUUUUCACAUCUCUAUAUAUGCUACAUUACCAACUUCUAUUAAGAGUGUAAUCCACUUGGAUAGCAAACCACAAUCAGAAACUGUACAUAAACAAUUGGUUUAUAAUUAGAAAUUGAUCAAGUAGAGAUAUGACAACAAGGCUCAGGACAAGAAAGUCGCAUCUAUUCAGUACACUAUGUAAAUGGAUCAGCAAGAUGACAUAAAACUGGCCUAAAAUGGUAUAUCUAAUCCUCCUCCUAAAAGAUAGCAAACCAUUGUAUCUCUAAUCAGCAAUGUUCUUUUGCUUUUUGGUUGUUUGCUUGUCUUACUUAGCAAUAAUUCAUCAAACACGGCAAUGCCGCAAGGGUUAAAAUAUCAUGCUCAUUUAAAUAUAUAAUCAAGUCCUAGAUAUUUCGCAUAGAUAACAUCUAACACAGUAAUCAUAAAAUUAACACAUAUGACUAAUUAUUUCCUCAAAAGGCAACGAAAUAAAACUUAAAAAAAGCGACAUAAAAUUGGAGAAAAAUAGGGAACUCACCGUCAAAUGAACUACUGGAGCCAGAAUCAUCAUCCUUGAUUUCCAUGAAAUCCGUGAAGAAAAACGCCGACGUUCUUAGAACCGAAAGAGAUGAGAGAAUGUUGUUUUUGUCGUACAAAAACAGAGAAGGAAGAAUGGAUUGGGAAGGAGAAAUUACGGGUGUAUAGGAAUCAAGAAAUUAGAAAUUAAUUGUGCGGAAUGAUAAAGCAUGAAAAUAAGAAGGCCGGCAAUAAAGCGGCUGAGAUUGGAAGAACCCAAUAACUUAUCAAGCCAGCUCAUAAUCAUAACCUGGAUCAAUUAUCAACUCAACAAAUCCUCCUAAUUUUAUCAACGAUUUUUGCUUCGUUUGCAUAGAUCAACCACAAAUUUUUCUCUCUUAAUACUACUACGUCUCUCUCUCUCUCUCUAGAUUUCAAUACACCAACUUCUUCUUCUUCUCUCUCUCUCUGCAAUGAUGAGCCUCUCUUUUGGGAAAUUGUGAUGGAGCAACGGAAAGAUGGUGUAAUAGGGUGGUCUAUUUAUCGGGAUGAACGGAGCUAUGGGAGCAUACAACUGGGAGGCAACGCGUAAUGCAUGAUAUUUAUUUCGAAAUAAGGGUAGUACUGUCAUUUUAAAUAUAGAGUCGUGUCCUUCUCGACUUCCCCCUCUCUUAACCAGUCAAUAACUCCUAAUUAACCCGCUUCACGUGAGCUCAAUUUUUACCGUCUAUAUUCCCUCCGUUUCAUAUUAAUUUAUCCCUUUACACUUGACACACUUAUUAAUAAAAUAUUAAUUAGAAGAUUUAUUUUACUAAAUUAGCAUUAUUAAUUAUAUUUUAAAAAUAUAAAUUUGAGUAAUACACUUUGUUUAGUCAUUUAAUGUUAAGAAUAAUAUUGAACAAACAUAAUAAAAUUCUCUUGAUUUCAUCAAAGAGACAACUAAAUUGAAACAAAUAUUUUUACAAUAAGGAUCAACUAAAACCAAACGAAGGGAGUAUUUUAUAUCUAUAUCUGUAAUUUAUAUAAAUAUAGAAAAGAGAAACAUGGCACUGCUGACGUGGCAUGCCUCAAUGAUCAAGAAAUAGAUUUAUCUAUUUUCUCAAAUUUUUUUAAUAAUUUUUACAUUUUAAAUUAACCAAAUCUUUCGUUAAAUACUAAAUAUGAAAAAAAAAAUAUCGCAGAGGAUGUCACGUAUGAGUUAUUAUCUAACUAGUGAUAAUGGUCACGCUUCGCGUGGUUAGAAAUAACAUUAGUAAAUUUAUAUGAAUAAUACAUAUUGUCGCAGAUUAUUAUAAAGAAAAUUAUUUGUUUUUAUCUUACACCUGUGAUAAUUAAUUAUAUAUAGUUAAUUAAAUUACAAACUCUUCCUUGUAUUUAUGUAUUUUGUUGGAUAAUAGAAUUUUUGUUUCUCUAUAAUUUUCUUUUUUAUAUUUAAAUGAAAUAAAGAUGAGAUACGAAUUUAAAAAAAUUAUGAUCAAUGCAUACAAAUUAAAAGCAAAAAUUUUAGUUAUUGUUUUGUACUUCGUAAUUAGUUAUGUCAACUAUUAUUUCAUAAUUAUGUUUUAGUGUUAGUUCUAGUUAUCCAUAGUUUAAAGAAUUUGAUAUAAUAAAAAUUGGCAUUGCUUCGAGUUUGAAAGUUUUUUCUCAGCAAGAAAGAUUGCAAGUUCUAUUUCACUAAGAAAGGAGUUAUAAAUAACAAAUAUUGUUAUCCUUCAACCUUUCAUUAUUGAUUGUAGCACGCGUACAUCAAUCCUUUUAUAAGAUGAUGAGAAUACACUUAGAAAUUAAGGAUAUAAAAUAAAAUAAAAAGAAAUAAAGUAAACAAAAGAGAAAAAAGAAAUAACACACCAUGAGAUCCCAAAAUUAUAUGAAGAUAUACUGAAAUAUAAAUAGGCAGGACAAAUGAAUUGUACACUUAAUUAUGAGUGAGUAAUUAUAUUAAAAAAAAACCUAUUUAGGCAUACUAUAUAAAUGAGUAUUAAUACUAUGUGGAUGAAACAAUGAUAUAAUUAAACUUUAUUGCAUAUAAUAGAUAACUCUUUUAGAUUAUAUUUAACUAGUCUUUAGACACGUACAUUGUACGUGUGUUUCACGUAGUAAAUUUUUAUAGAUUCAUAAAAACGAUUAAAAUUCUAUAAAAAUAUGUGUGCAAUGAGAAAUGCAAUGCAAUAAUUAUAAAUAAAUCUUUAUAAGCAUGAUAAAAAGCACCAAAUAAGGGGUGUAUUUGAAUGUUUAAAAUUAAUUCAUAAUUUUAACCGACAAAUGUAAAUUAUGAAAUUUAUUUAGUUAUUAGCAAACCUUCAAUAAAGUAAAAAAUGACUAAUUUGAGCCUAAAUGAAAAUAUAGAUUUACUACAAUUAAAAAUUUAUAAAAACUUAAAUUAAAGAAGUUUAAUGAGAAAAAAACAAAAGAAAAUAACAUAAAAGGAACCAAAAAAAGAUAAAGGGGUCGAGCAGUUAAGAGACUUAGCACACAUUGAACUUGUAUUAAAAAAUUGAAAGAGUAAACAAACCUUUUCAUGAUAAAUAACAAUUGUUUCAUAUUAAUAUUCAUUAUGUUUUACAACUUUAUGGCUUUAAAUAUAAAAGAAAUAAAUGUACCAGAAAAUAUAACCACUUUUGUAGAAGUCUAAAGGCACAUAUGACCAUUUGAAUAGAUCAAUAUUUAUAAUUUUUCAUCCAAAUUUAUAUUAGUUUUAGUAAAUACUUUAUCUAGUAUUUAGUCUAAUAUGAUAUGAUUACUAUCUAUAUUUAAUUAGUAUGUUAUAAUAUUUUAAUUUAAUGUAGGAGUAAAAUAAAAAUCCAACUUUACACUUUGAAACUAACAUCAUCAAUUGACAAUAAAAGCAAAGAAAACCCCAUUCUAAAUUCAACAAUUGAGAAAGAGAAGUAACAAAUAUAAUAGAAAAAAAUGCAAAUAAAUGAAAAAAAAAAAAUCCUAUCUUUGAAGAGUUUAUCUCACCUUUCACUUUCUCUUUAAUUGAGCAAUGAAUGUGAACAAAAAAUUAUUAAUCAUUGACUUGUAUAUUAUUGACUUAGCAUGCUCCUUAAAACAUAAUAAAUAAUAAUAAAAUUAUCAUAUUAUCUUUUGAAUAUAAUAAAUUCAAUGUUUAAUUAAAAAUAUACCGAGUAAUAAUUAUAAUAUCGGGAACAACCUUUCUACUUCUUCGGAGAUAGUGGUAUGGACUGGAUACAUCCUACCCUCUUCAGAUCCUAUUAUGUGGGAAUAUACUGAAUUUGUUGUUGUUGAUAAAAUGGACAAAAAUAAAUAGUUUUUCAAUUUGGACACUUAUUAUUGAAUAUCUUUUUUAAUAAGAUGGAAGGAGGAAGUAUUUUUUUUUUCCUCUCUCUUUUUCUUCUCGUUUUCUAUCUUUAGAAUACUUGGUCAACUAUAACCCAAAGUUAUGUUUCCCUCAAACAAUGAGCUCAUUUACAAAGGUCGUGGUAGAGUGAUAAUUAUACCGUCAUUCUUAACUAUAGGUUUUAGGUUCGAGUCAUUUUAGGUGCGGUGUGACCUUUGUUAGGGAACAUUUUACUUUACUUUGAGAUUUUCCUGCGCGAUUCAGAAUUUAGUUGAAUUUUGAUUCAAUACAAAUAUUAAAUAUCGAGUGAAACACCAAUAAAAAUUAGUGGCCCUCUCUAGAAUAAAGUAUUGCCGGAAAAAAUACGAAUUAAUUUUGUCACAUAACUUCAAAGUCUUUAAUAAUAAUACUUAAAUAAGUAAUUUAUCCGUUUAAACAAUUCUAAGAGUAAAAUAUGCCACGAUACUUGAUUUUUUCCCGUAAUAUGACAAAACUACUCAACUCCAAGAUAAGCAGCUUUUUUAUAUCUUAAUCAGACAGAUUCUAAAUCUAGUUUCCCAUAAUCUAACAAGUUCCCUAAAUUAAUGUUUUUGUUCUCUGACUUCUUUUUUGUUUCCCAGGCUUAAAACAAUAAUAAAAGAAUAAUCUCAUUCAUGGAUGACAAUUGACAAGGACAACACGUGGAAGGUGGGAUUGGAAUUUGGACUUAGAAACAACUACUAGUGCGAAAAUGCAUAUAGUCCUAUCAGUUGGGCUGGAAUUGGAGUGAAGCACAUGGAAUGGAAUCAGAAUUAUUGAAUUUCGACUCCACAAUAUAUUGAUACUAUUGUUAUUCUUCGGGAAGUCGAAUCAUUCUCUUCUUCACUAAAAUAUGUCAUAUAUUAAUAAAACAAAUUGCUUAUAUAAACUGAUGGUAAAUUCGGAAUUUUCAUUGAAGGAAUUAAAAGCAAACAUUCGAACUAAUCAAAAAAGUAAAAAUAUUUUUGAUUAUAAUUUUUUAUCGAAGAAGGUUGGAAUAAUCCCCGAAUAAAAGGUGGCUCCAUGAGUCACCUUCGCGAUGGACGCAACAGUACAAGUGUCAGACCAACUUGACCGACAAUGCUUCCCCACUUGUGAUGAUUAUGGUCCAGCACACCGGUGGAGCCAUGUUCUAGUUACGGAUGUGGUACAAUUUUGUAAUUUUGGUUCACAGUUUGAUUUUAUAUAUAUAUAUAUAUAUAUAUAUAUAUAUAUAUCCUUAAUAAAUAUAUAUGACUUGUUUAUUAGACCAUAAUUUUAAAAAAUAUCUUUUUUUUAUUCUUAAAUUUUAUAUCUGAUCAAAUACCUUUACAUAAAUUAGAAUAGACGAAGUAAUAUUUUGUUGUCAACAAGCUCAUUCUAAUCUUGAAGUACGUUUGACAAAUUUCGUAUGGAACGAAGAAAGAUCUAACGAGAUUAGCAAUAGUACUCAUUAUAACAGGUUAAGGUUUAAGUAGUUGUGGCAGUGUAAAUUAAGAAGUUGUGCUAAAGUCACAGGAUAUGAUACUUUGUUAGAUUAAUUACAUGGGCAUGCCAUAAUUACAUAAAUUGCCAAAGAUUAAAUGGUAGUACACUAUAUAUGAAACUGAAAGUAUUUCAUUGUCAACUUCAUAGAUUUUCUAUCUUAGACGUAAUUCAAAUGUGGGUUCUAUGAAUAUUCAGUCCCCUCUACCAAAGAAUGUUGCAUUAGUCCAAUAAAGUGUCCAAAUAAAGUCGGUUACUUUAGUGAUUGAUUGGAAAUUAGGUCUGAUUUUGUUCUAUAUAGCAAACAUCUCUUUUCUCUUUUUGUGUGUUUUUUUUUUUAAAGAGGUGGUGGCUUUUGAAUAAUUCUUGACUAAAGAGACAUGAUUUUUACAUCAGGAUAUUUUUAAAUAUACAGUUCCACGACGUGCAUUGCAUUGAUGUAGUCAUAUUUUUAAUAUUUUACACCUGAUAGGUAACGUUAUAUAAUGGUAUGUACUUACUGUGAGCUUUAAUGUCUCAGCUUUGUAUAAAAAUGUAAAAGAAGUGUUAUUUAUACACACGUUUACAUCAUCAUAUAAAAUUAUGCAAAAACUAAAUCUCGUCUCGUAAAAACUUCAACCACAAAAUUCCUUUUGACUGUGUCAAAUUUUCAUCGAAUAACUUCAAAUUUUAACUAGAACUUUAAAGUGGCAUCUCAAUAAAUCUCAAUCAUCAAUUUGUAAAUAAAAAAUAAAUAAAUCAAGAAAGCACAAAAUCCAUUUGUGAGUUUCAAGCUUUUAGAAACCCGAAAAAUGGAGUUUUCAAUUUUUUACUUUAAUUCACUCAAUUACAUUGAAGCUGUGGUGAUAAACAUCAAUAUCACUUUUAACUUUCUUUAAACAUCAAUAAUAAAAGUCAUAAUCAUAAAUCAAUAAAUUAUUGUCCUUUUUUGAAUCUCAUAUAUAUAAAAUGAAGUAAAUAGGAUAAGAUCUUAUAAAUUCGACUUCUUUAUAUCUAUAAUCUAUAAUAUAUUUAAAAAUGUGAAGUGCCUUAAAAAAGUAAUUUUAACUUUUUAUCCUUCAUUAAAAGAUUCUUCUUUAGACAAAACUAUUUUUUCACUAUUUUAUUCAAUUUAUUAUUUAAUUAUUUUUUGUUACACUAAAUUCCUAAAAUAUAUGGGACUCUAAAAUAUACGAAAGGAGAAUCAAUUAAUAUUUUUAUUUGUACUGGUCAACUAGAAAAAUACUCUUAAAAUAAAACUCAAUUAAGGAAAUGCUUCUGUAAAUAUUGAAAUCUAGAGAAUAAUUAUUUAUACUAAUUUAUGCACACAGCAUGCUUAGGUCUUUGAAUAACAUGUAUGCGUGCUAUUUUUUAAGUUUUUCUUUAACUGUUUUUUUGACUCUCUGUUCUUCUUUCUUUGUCUUUUUAAGUUAGUUAUUGAUUCACUUGUAUUUAUUAGAUGUUAGGUAGUUGAUUUUUUUUACUUUGUAAAGUAUUACCUCUUCAUUUUUUUUUUUUAUCAAUGUAUGGAUAAAUACAUACAAGCCAUCAGGCUUUGUAUAAGAAAUUCAAUAAAUGUUUUUAUUAUUAGUUUGGAUAAUAAUUGUAUUGUCUUGAUAUCUCUAUUAGUUUAUUAUUUUGUGGUAGUUUACAUGUUGUAGAUGAAUAUUGAUCGGAUUUAAGGAAUUUUUGUGUGUAAAAUUUAAAUUUAAUUGUGUUAUUUUAAUAUAUUUUUUAUCGUAUUGUUUUGUUGUAGUUUGCAGAUGGUUGAUAAAUGUCGAUCGACUUUGAAGAAUUUUUUUGGUAAGGGUUAAGUUUAACUGUAUUGCUUUGAUAUCUCCGACUUGAGAAAUUUUUUUGUGUAAAGAUUAGGUAUAGUUAUAUUAUUUUAAUAUCUCUAUUAUCGUAUUAUUUUGUUAUAGUUAACAGGUGGUAGAUGAGUGUCAGACGCUUUGAGGAAAUUUUAGUGUAAAAGUUAAAUUUAAUUGUAUCAUUUGAUAUCUCUAUUAUCGUAUUGUUUUAUUGCAGUUUACAAGUGGUAGAUGAAUGUCGAUCAGUUUUGGGAAUCGUUUGCGGUAAAGGUUAGGUUUAAUUAAAUAAAUUCUCCUUCUUUACAUAUUCAAAAAAUAUUGAAUUUAAUUAUUAUAUUUAUCUUUAUUAUUUAAAUAAACUUUUUAUUUAGUGUAACGUUUAAACUCAUUAAAGUAAGAUAUACGCGCGAGAUACGCACACCUAAACUAGUUUUAUUUAUAAGCUUGGGCCGAGUGACGCAAAACAUAAAAUUCUCAAUUUUAAAUUAUAUUAGUCACCAUAAAGUAUAAUAUAUCUUCAUGUAAAUGGAAAAGUUAUUGGUCAAAUUAGGUCGAUGAUAAUUUGAUCCAACUAGUACUUAUUAAUCCUGUAUAUGUGCAGACAUUUAGUAGUGGGAUUAGUUUAAUACUCUUAGGGGUGAUUUGGUAGAGUGAAUUAAAAAUAUAAUACAUAUAUUAUGAUUUGUGUAUUAAUAGUACCAUGUUUGAUAUUCUUUUUUAGACUAUGCAUAAGUAAUACUUGCAUUAAUUGUACGCAUUUUUGUAUAUUAAAGUAUGUAUUACCAAUGCACAUCAUUUUCCAUGUAUUAGUAAUACAAAGUCUUCAACACAUGCAUUAACUUAGUAAAUUACAAAAUUACCCUCAAGUCAUUGUCCCUCUUUCUCUUUUCUGCAGAUUGUCAUGGAAAAGCAACAAUAAUUUUCUUAAGUUCUCCUUCUUCCGUUCAAUUAAUCAAACAAUAGUUGUUUUUUUCCAUCAGUUGUGCUUUACUCUUUUGUUCUAUUAUUUUGUUCCAUCAAAGAUCCUCAACAACAUCACUUCCUAAACGUCUCCAAUUAGCAUCAAAAUAUUCCUUCUCUUUCAACUUAUCUUCAUCAUUUUCGGUGGAAGAGCGAAUUAUCGCAUUUAUUGACGAAUUCUGAAUGUCUACUUUUGAUGAAGUUCUGAAAAUUGUUUAUACUUGAGAAUUUUUUGAGGAAAAAGAAGAAGCUUUGGAGGAUCGCUAUGAAGAAUUGAAGUUGGGAGUUUCAAUGGAAAGAAGGGCAUUUUGGUAAAAAAAUAUUUUUUUAUAAAAAUUAUAUAAAUAUAUAUUAUUUUUAAUACAUCAAAUCAAACACUGUAUAAGAAAUAAUGUUUGAAUAACUAAUACCAAUUUUACUAAUACUUACAUUACUAAUGCAAAAAUUAUUAAUACACUAUAUUCAAUUUUAAUCUUAUACACUCUCCCAAACGAUCACUUAUUAUUACAUCAUAGAAAAGUAUAGUUUAUAAGAAAAAUAAAUAGCAAACUAAAAAGUAGACAACACACUUUCGGAUUGAAAUGUCUACUGGGGCCAAUAUACAUGAGCCGCCUAUUCAACAUAAAUGCAUUUCCAACGUACUCACACCCUUUCUUCUAAUCCAUUUUGGUUCCUAGGCAGACUCAGAAUUUCUAUUGAGGAAGUUCAAAAUCUGAAGAAAAAUUUAUUAAAAAAAAAUAAAAAAUUAAUAUUUAUGAUAUAUACAUAAAAUUUAUUUUAAUUAUAUAUUAAUAGCAUAAUUUUUUAUCAAAGAGGGUUCGAACGAAUCUCCUAUUACUAAGUUGGCUCCACCUCUAUUUUGAUUUGCCUAGAGAUAAGCAUAUAUGCCUUUUCUUUUUCGAGUCUUUAUUAACCUCUCAUUUUUAAUUUGAAGAUUAUAAAUUUGAGCCAUUAAAAAAGCAAAAAGAUUGAAAGUUUUGAGAAGGAAAAAGAAAAAAGAGACUUCAUUUAGAGAAAAAGACAGUACUUUUUUCUUUUUCGAUUUUAUUUAAAGAAUCAAAAGAUGCAUUUGAGAAUAAUGGUAUAUUCCUCUACCUUUUAAUGAAUCCUCCUUUCUCUUUUAUACAAUCUAAACAAAUAAGAUAUAAAAAAAUAAAACGAAAGUCGAUAUCACUGCUUUUCUAACUUCCCUUCAAAUAUAUUACUAAGUUAUGAAGAAAUAAUUCAUUUGCAUGAGUAAGAAAUUGAUGUAUUUAGAUGAUGAGUCGUCCUCUUCUUAUACAAAAGAAUUUCAAGAAUCAUUUGAUGUCAUUUUAUGUGGACUAGUACAUUGAAAUUCUUUGAUAUGUGUAGAUAAUAAUCUUUGUAGCAAUAUCAAAUUAAUAGAUCAAAGGGUUAAACUGUGUACGAAGUUUUAUUCUUAAUACUAAUAUGGAUUGUGCUGAAAUAAUUGAGAUUCCUUUAUUUUUAAUCAGCUAUUUAUUUUGAUUUCAAUUCAUGAAAUGAAAAUAAUUUUUAUUGAGAGAGUUUUUCUCUGAAGUGAAGCUGCUUACAAUGCUUAAAAUCAAAUUUAAUUAAUCAAGCUCCAAUACACGAAUAUUGAACUCCUAGUAGAAAACCAAAAUAGUCAUUAUGAGCUGUGCCAAAUUGAGUCACUUUUGAAGACUUGUAUAGAAGAAGACAAGCAGUUGAUGCUGAAUUGUCAGAGCAAAAGUAAGACUAAUAACAUAGCGGGGCCAAAAAAUUUAAAGACUAACUUGUAAUUACGUGUGGUCAAAGUACUUUUGGCUGACUCCUUCUUGACCUAACAGGCUAACGUUUUCCUUUAAUUAAUUAAAUAGUUUCCUUUUGGAUUGCCUUAGAAGUAAACAUUCCUCUAUUAUCUCUUUUAAGAGCUCAUCUAAUAUCUAAUAUCUAAUAUCCAAUGGUGAAGUUGAUUUAAGAAACUUUUUUAUUAUCUUGAACAUGUGUCUUAACAUGUGCCUUCAAAUGAAUUUGAGAUAUCUUUAAAUUUGAAAAUUUUGUUGUAUUAAUCCCUUUUGAUGAAUUUGAGAAGUUUGAACAUGUGCCUUUUAUUGUAUUAAUCCUUUGAAUUGUAGAAGAAGUACUAGCUCCUUUUUUUUUUUUAAAUGAGAAAAUUUUCUUUAGAUGUGCUUCUCAAAUUCCUAAUACUUUAAGUGUGAAUUUUUUUUUUUUAAAAAAAGAAUAGUUUAAAAUUGCUCCUGGGUUUCGGUAAUAUAAAAAUUAAGGACUACCUAAUAAUCCACUUUAUCAUUUUCUCUAAUUUAGUGCGUGAAUAAAUAUUUGUUUGGAAAUCGCAAAGAAGCUUCUCCCCAGUAGCUAACUUGGAAUGAAUGUUAUCAACUUAUAAAUAGCUUUUUUUUUUAAUUUUAAGGUCAUGUAUCCUGAUGUAUUCAUUCCAACUUUUGAGAUUUGCAUCGCUCUCUUCAACACGUAAUAACCAUUCGUAUUUUUGUUGCUAUAAAAACUUGUUCAUUUACAAUUCUAGGGUGUGUUUGGUAAGAAGAUUUUUUUUUUUAAUAAUUAAUUGGUCAAAAUAUUUUAAAUAAUAUUUUAUUAUAGUAAAUUAAUUCCUUAAAAAUCAAGAAGACAAUCACCUAGGUCGAAAUUGAAAAAUCAAAUUUCAUACACAUCCUCAUGUUUUUGCCACACUCAGGCGUGAAAUUAAAUGGAUAAAUACGGAUCUAGUUGAACCCUAUAGCUUUUAUUUAAAUAAAAUAAUUAAUAUAUUUAUACUAAGAAAUUCAAUAAAUAUUUAUAAAUAUUAGAUUAGAAUUUAGUUAUUAUUAGUUGAAAUCGUCACUUUAAAAUUCAAAAGCUAAAAAACUAAAUAUAUAUCUCCAAAGCCCCCUCCCCCCCAUCAUCCUUCAACCCCACCCCACCCCACCCCCUCUUUCCAACUUAUUGUGUUUGGGAAAAAUAUAUAUAAAUACUCUCAGUACAAUAUAUUCUUUUGUUUAUCAAGGAUUGAAAAAUAAUAAGAAAACAGGGAAAAAAUAUUUUCCUCCACAUCAAACUUAUUUAACUAUUUCCAAAUAUAUAAAUGUAUUAUGUUUUUAGACGAAUUAAUAAGGAAAUAGUGCUAAAUGAAAGAAAUCAAACUAUUUAUUUUUGAAAAUAAGACCGUUCCAUCCACACUUUAUUUUUUUUUUCUCCAAAUAUAGAGUUUCUCUAUAUUUGACAAACACCAAUUUCAACGCAACCUUUUUUUACACUCUUAAAAAAAAUCAUCUUCUAUCUCUUUAAUAUUACUUUAUUAUCUUUAUUUUAUUUGCAUUUGNNNNNNNNNNNNNNNNNNNNNNNNNNNNNNNNNNNUUCAUGUAAUACAUAAUUAUUUUCUACCCCAAAAUUUUUAAAUAACAUAAAUCACAAGCAAAUAGUAUAUAUUAUUCAUAUUAAUGGACAAUUCAAAUAUAAGUGAAAUUAUUGAUAAAAUACAAUUAAAUAAAUAUAACAUCAUGAUAAAAUUUAGAGAUAAGCAUUCAUUAUCCAUCGAACUAUGACCAAAGUUGUUAUGACACACUUCAAACUUCACAUGGAUCUUAUUACCAUUUUUAACAUUUUUUUUUGUGCUGAUGUGGUACCUGCUAAAAAGGUUGACAAAAAUAUGCUGAAAUUUAAUUCAGGGAUUAAUAAAAUCGCCGUGAAGUUGAAGCAUGUCAUAACAAUUUUAUCAUAGUUCAGCAGAGAAUACAAGAUACUUUACUCUAGAAUUUAUAUAUUAAUAAUUUCUACGUAAGUAUUCAAUCUCAAGAUUAAUAUGUUGCCCCGGUAAAUACUACUCUAUUAAUGCAUUGCAAAGUUCACAAUGAGCACUUUUGUCCUUAAUUUUUUUUUUUUUUAUGUCUAGCUAAAAAUUAUUUCAAUCGAUAAUUUUCAUCUACCACCAUUUCUACCAUUGAAGUUGGAGCUUUCGAAGUAUCUUGAAUUGAUGCAUUCCUUAAUAGAACUAAGAUAAUAUCUUUUUAUUUUCAUAUAUAUCUUAAAUAAAAAUAUUACAUUAGAAUAUUAGAGUCUUAAUUGAUGAUGUUCUAUAAUUUAUAAUAGGUUAAAUUAAAACUGUUAUAUAAUUCUAAAUAAUAAUGAAAAAGUAAAAUUUAGAGAGUGGUUGGAGUUGCUCUAAGUAGUGGAUUUUACACCACGUCAAAAGUUCCUUACCGUUGGUGCUUCAAAGCAGAGAACCAUUAGUUUUAUUGAUUUUCUUACAGGCAAACGUUGAGGUACAUUACAAAAACACUUCUUAUUCUGUUAUACUUGGAUACAUCUGUUCUGAACUCACAAAACAUAACGUGCUAAACAUAUCAAACAAGCAUGUAGCCUAGAAUUUUACAUGUACUCCAAGCAAUACCAUAAACUGAGAAAUGAACUCAGGAUGACCUGGCCAAGCUGCCCCCGUCACAAGAUGCCCGUCUGUGAAGCAACGGUCUAUUGGUUCUGGUUCUAGCCAUGUCCCCCCUCCUAGCACCACGUUAAGUUUCACAGCAGGGUACGCAGUACACUUCUUACCCUGUAGUUGUUUAGUGAGAAUACAAAUUAGUGUGCGCAUAGCAUACACCCGUGAACACCACAUGUUCCCAUUUUAUGUCAUUUCUUAACAUGUUCUAACUACUGCAUUAGAUCAGUGAGAUCAAUUUUCUGCAUGACAUUAUUAUCCUUGCAGUUACAUGUGGAUACUCGAUAGUAUACAAAUUUCCUGAUUUUCUUCUUAUCCCAUUGUUAACUUUUCGGCCUUCGGUAGAAAGGGGGAAAAUGAGCUGAAACAUCAUGCAAAGACCAGGUUUUUAAACCUCAAUGCUAAAUGAAGUUUAGAGAGUUACCUUGAGAACACCAGCAGCAGAUAGAAUCUGCUGCCCAUGGCAGAUUGAUGCAACUGGUUUUUUGGAGUCCAUGAAUUCCUUGACCAACUUAAUAACAGCAUCAUCCAGGGCAAGAUAUUCUGGAGCUCGGCCUCCAGGAAUUACAAGUCCAUCAUAGCUUGAAGCAUCCACGCUAUCAAAAUUGGCAUUUAAGGUAAAAUCGUGACCUGGCUUCUCACUAUAAGUCUGAUCACCUUCAAAGUCAUGCACAGCCGUGGGGCAUUUCUCACCGGCUUUCUUCUUUGGGCAAACAGCAUCAACAUGGCAUUCAAGAGCUUGGAGGGACUGAAAAGGAACCAUCACUUCAUAGUCUUCCAUGAAAUCCUACACCCAAAAGAAAGUAGAGCGUAAAAUUUUUUAGCUAAAUAAGAUGUCACCAAAUAAAAGUUUAACAGGCCUGAGACCAGGAGAGAAAAGAACUCCAAAUAUGAAAUCCGCACACAUCCAUGAUAUUGGCCAGCUUACUCAAAUGAAAAAAUAAAGCAUCCCCUGUGAUAGUUUCAAGCCUUCUAGUUUGUGGAACAUCUUUCAGGAAAUCCAAUCCCCAGACCACGGACCAAUAAAUUCAAUCACAUAAAGUAACAGGAAGCAUGAAACAUGGUCAGCCAAGUGGAAAACAGUGACGCAAGGAAGAUAAGAAAAUAGAAAUCAAGCAAGCAGUGCAUCUAAUCCGAUUGGGUAAAUAGUUUUACAGAGGAGUACAGGUAAGACAAGGUUGUUCAAGAAUUGAAAACACACGUCUUUUACUGUAUAUCCAUUCAAGGUGAACUUCCCAAAUACUAUAUGGAAUUUGCAUUUCAGAUAAAUAACCUCAAGGAAUCAAGGGACCAACUAUCAGUGAUUUAUGCAGAUUGCAUAGAUUCACAUAGGAGGGGAAAGAAAGUGGGAAGAGUCGACGCUUUCCUUUCUUCUUUCUUUCCUAUUUGGAGAAGCAUUUACCAAAAUGUGCUACUGAUGCAACUCAUUAUCCAAAAACACAAUCCUCCGAGAGAAUGAGAAGAACUGCCACCUAUGUCCUAUGACCAUACAGAACAUGGAGGAAGAGUAGCCAGAAAUCAUAUUCAAGAGACAACUCCAAUACCAUGUUACUUAAAAAAAUGAGUUAGGUAAUACUAUACGAUAAGCAAUACAAAUUGUUAAACGUUUAUUUAUCAAGGUAAAUGGAGCUCUGCAAUGGCUUGAAAAGGAAAAUAUACAUUAGCAUAUGGCCGUGAAGGGCUUAACCCACAAGAUAUGCUAUGAAAGUUGCUACAAGCCCCUGGGUGAACUUUUAAGAUGCAAUACUGUUUGCCUAAACAACAAAGAGAUGCACCACUUAAGCACGUCCUAUUAUGGAGUGUGUGUAGCGCUUUGAAAGAGCAAGGAGUUAGGAACAAGAGACAUUUUCCUGUACCUUUGCUAACCUUCAUCCCAAUCAAAGGUAACGUGGACCAAAACAGGGAACAACAACAACAACAAACCCAGUGUAUUCCCACCUAGUGGGGUCUGGGGGGGUAAGAUGUAAGCAGUCCAUACCUCUACCUCUGAUGAAGUAGAAAGGCUGUUUCCGAUAGACCCCCGGCUCAAGGCACGAGAUACCACACAAACACAUAGUAAAGCACAGAAGCAGAUUACAUAACAUAAAUACGGCACCCAUAAGUAAUAUAAAACAGAGAAGAGCAGAGGAAAGCACACAGAUUUGUAAUGAAACAUGGAACACGGGACACGGAAUCAUAACAGGAAUAAAACCCCCACCAAGUACCAAAACAGGGACAUGAAAUAAAAUAUAAUCCCCAGGAAAUUCAGUGUCGCUUCUGUUCAAACCAGUACAACAAAGAAUACCAAGCACAGCCUCUACCAUCCUCCUUUCUACAUCAUGACUAAUCCGUAGGUGACCAAACCGAGAACUUCUUCUUCUUCUUUACCAUUUUUUUUCAAGCUAAGUAACCAAACCAAGAACAUCUAAUCCUUAGGACCUUUUCUUUUUUUUUUUUUUUUGAUAACUGUGGGUUCGGGCCAGCUUGCGCGCACCUCGACUAAUUCCACGGGAUACCUGUUACCUCCCACCACCAACAGGUACCAGCUAACAGGUAACUCUGUCCACCAAGGCUAGAAGUUUGUCUUUGUUGGGAAUUGAACCUAAGAUCUCAUGGUGCUCAACCCAACUUCAUUGAACCACUAGGCCACACCCUUGUGUGCAUUUUAUCCUUAGGACUUAACAUUGGGUAAAUUGUGGAGAAGUAAUACACACAGUCUAACCAGGAAACGAAGGGACCCAUUGGCUGCAUCAUUCUAUCUAUGUUCACCCUUCAAGCACACACACACACAUAGCAGUACCAAUUAAGUCAGAUUGUGCAUAGCCGCUACCUCCCAGGGGUAGAUAUGUGACUUUGUUCACCAAGGCUUAUACAUGUGGUAAGAAAUUAGCUACCUUCUUGUCUCUACUGAUAUUUGAAACUCGUCUCACAUGGUACAUUCCAACUUCAUUCACCAGACCCCUAGGUGCACCUACUUACCUUCAUUCUUACAGUCCUGAAAUGUUGAUUGCACCAGAAACGUGGACGAUUCCACUUCUUACAAUACUCUGAUGGCUACAUGUGUCUCUAAUUUUGAAAACAAGACAACUACAUGUAUCUGUUAGACUGUUACACAAUCAUACAUGAUGAAAAACUCUUAUUCAAUCUCUAGAAUCUAUGAUAGUCUAAAUCUCCUCUUCUUCAACAAAUCCUCCAGAACUAAGUAACAGCUUGAUAAUAAUCAAUCUAUACCGUCAAACUUAAAAUGAGAGGUUAAACUGUACACAGGAAUGAUAUUCCAAACAAUAUCAAGUGAUUAUCUGAUGGCUCACCAGCAUGCGGUGAGCAAAAUAUGACACAACCUAAGCAAAUAAACAUCACAAGAGAUAUUUUUAUGUCACGUAUUGGAAGUUCGAUAGGGAGAGGGAUUUCUGCCACCUAGAUAUCAACAGAACCAGCUAUAUUUAGGAGGGUUACAUAUGCCUGUUCUUCUACAAUAAUUGGGAUGAGAAAUUGUUUCAAAAGUCAUAAGUCACACCACAGCUGAACAACUAAUUCAUAUACUAGCAUUUACCUGUAAACUGCAAUUUGAAACUCAGCAUUUCAAAUUCUCCCAGCUAAGAAAGAUAAUGCUACAUGAUCAUUAACUUACCCCACAUAGAAAUAGGAUCCUUUUACCAGAACCAACUAUGCUGCCACCAAGUGCCUUGACAAAGAGUCUGAUGAAUUCAGGGUGUCCGUCAUAAGUAGGUACAGUGAUGAGAUUACCGUCAACAGUACAUGAGGCCAUAGUUUCUGGUUCUUCCCAAUGGGCACCAGCAGCAAGAAGCACCGGCUUCACAGCAGGAAAAGCUGUGCACUUUAGACCUUUGACCACAUCUGCAGCAGCCAGGAUCAAUUGUCCAUGACAGAUAGAAGCAAUUGGCUUUUUAGUGUUGGCAAAACUUUUCACCAAGUCCAACACAGAUCCAUUCAUGGCCAGGUAUUCUGGAGCACGUCCUCCUGGUAUGACCAAGCCAUCAUACUUUGUAGCCUCGAUUUCAUCAAAGGUUGCAUUAAGAGCAAAAUUGUGUCCGCGGGACUCUGUAUAUGUCUGAAACAAUUUUGGAACUAAAUAAAACUCUGCUGGCACAAAAUUAUUAAGACUAUCACCAGUUCAAAUGCUAUAACAAAUCAGCAGGAGAGUACUAGUGCAUUUCUUAAAGACAUGUGCACAAGUGAGCAUAGACAUAUAAUUUGGUUAAGGAAUUGUUGGAAAUUGUAUAAAACCUAGUAUUCCAAUUGACCAGCCUAUAUCUAGCCAAAUUGUUUAAGAAUCACUCUCCUUGACUAAGAAUUCAUCCACUACAUCUCUUGUCCUCAGUUGUAAAUUAUCCUGAGUUAAGUGAUCUGCAUAUAGAGACGCAUCAUCCAAUUCCUUGAAGCUAAAAACUGCACUUGAAGAUUCCAGUAUCGUAAGUUCUUCGCCCAUCAGCAAUGAAAGCUCAUUUAUUUCAUUGAAUUCAAACUCAUUAUUCAUAAAACAUGAACCUUUUGAAAUCUGGAUUAAUAUCCUUAAACAGAAAAUACCAAGUAAAGCUCAGAAAAAUAAAAGAACAUAGUCACACAGCAAGUUUCAACCUUUAACCGCAAUCAAGUACAAGUCGAUGAGGGACGCACAGAAGGGUUAGUUCUAAUCAUUGGACAUCUAAAAGUCCACCCAAAAACUACUAAAGAAAUACACCAUGGAUAAGAACCAUGCAGAUUCAAAAUCAUACUCCAAUAAUUCAUAAAGCCCGAACCGCAGACCUUACCUCUACCUUAUAGAUAGACCCUCGGCUCAAGACAAAAAGAGUCUAGAAAAAGACUGUACUGGAAGUACAAGAUAUAAUUAAGUAGAUCGUAGGAAUACACAGAAUGGCAAAUUAUAAUCAAUUUUUUUGAAGUCAACUCAAUCCACCUCAAUUCCAAAUAAGAUGAGAUCCACUAUAUUUAGGGUAUCCGUUGACCAACUCCAGAUUCACCAAUUAAAAACACUAGUAAAUAAUCACAUUACAUACUGCUUAGAAGAAGGAGAACUAUGCAGAUUCAAAAUUAACUGGUAAGAUGGAGCAAAAGAAAGUACCUGGUGAUGAGAAAGCUGAUGAACAGAAGUACGGCAAACAUCACCGGCUUUCUUUCCAGGACAAACAGCAUCAACGGCUACUCCAUAGGCUAGCAGAGCUUGAAAUGGUACCAUCACCUGAACAAUAUUAUAGUAAACAAGAAGAAAAUAAAAUCAGUGAACCAAUUAGUCAUUCUUAACAUGUAUACACAGUGAGGAUAGAAAAUCAAGAAUGUGAGAAAAAAAAAUGUUGUAAUACCUCAUAGUCUUCAACGUAAUCUCCACAUAGUAAGAGAACCCUUUUCUGAUUAGCCAUUUUUCAAGCAGUUAGGAGCUGAGGUUUAUCUCUCUCUCUCUUUGUGUGUGGAAGAGGUUAAGGAAUUGAUCCGUAUGUACUCGAAGAAGAAGAAGCUGACGAAAUGUUGCUCUCGAAAGAAGUGGUGGAGUAGUGCAACUGGAGAAGUUUUUUGAUAUAAUAGUAAAAAAAGGAUUUUAUUGCAAACAAGGUGGACGUGCCGGAGUGGUUAUCGGGCAUGACUAGAAAUCAUGUGGGCUUUGCCCGCGCAGGUUCGAAUCCUGCCGUCCACGCCUAUAAAAUAUUUUGCUCUAUUUUUAAGAAUUUAUUCCUUAUGGCUCGUGGCUUUGAAUUUUUGAUCCCAAUAAAAUAAGUCUUUAAAAACUAGUUUUUCUUCCUUUUUAAAUAUAAUACAAGUACAAGUUUGCCUCUCUACACCUCAAAUAUUUUAAAACUUUCCAUACUUAUUUGUCUCUCAAAUUCUAUUUUUAUUUUUAUUAUUUUCACUUUUUUUUCUUUAAUUUUAUUUUUAUAUUUGGAUGGCUUUAGGAGGAGAAAAGGUAGGCCGAAGAAAUAGUGGAGGGAAUUGAUUAGACAUGACAUGGAGCAGCUGCAGCUUACUGGGAACAUGACCCUAGAUAGGAAGGUGUGGAGGUCGCGGAUAAGAGUAGAAGGCUGGUGUGAGUGUGAGGGUUAUAGCAAGGUGUUACAUAGGGUUGUACAGACCAAACCAUCAAACCAAACCGAAGAACCAAACCAAAUCGAGAAAAAAAUCCGACUUAUGGUUUUGUUUGGUUGGUUUGGCGUUUGAAAAAAAAAACAAUCAUUCUUGAUUUGAUUUCAUGUUAACUAAAAAAGAAUCAAAGCGAACCCAAAUCAAACUGACAUAAUAUAUAUACAUAUAUAUGUGUGUGUGUGUAAGUAUGCAUAUAUAUAAUUUAACUUUUUAUACAUAAAAUAUUAAUUAUAAUCUACUUUUUCAAUUAGUUUUAUUAAUUUUCAAUAUUUAGAAAGUAGAUGUGUGUGUGUGUGUGUGUGUGUGUGUGUAUAUAUAUAUAUAUGCUAAUAAAAUGAUCCAAAAUUCAAUAUAAAAUUAAAACCUAAAUUUUUCACUCUUCAUCUUACUUUUAGUUUCAAGAGAGAAUUUCGCUCCUCAAUUUCUCAUAAUUGAGUCUUUUCACUAGCACAUGAGUGAAAACAUACUUGAUCUAGUCUUCAAUAGCAAUAUAAUUGUAAAAAAUAAAGAUUAUAAAAAAAAUGAGAAAACCCCCCAAAAAAAUGAAAGAACCGACUAAAAUCUAAACCGAAAAAAAUGAUUUUAUGUUGGUUUGAUUUGAUUUAUAGUUUUAAUAAAUCGACAUAGUUGGUUUGAUUUUUAUUCAAUAAUAAACCAAACCAACCCGACCUAUGUACACCCAUAAUGUUAGGAGAGCUCUUGUGUAGUCGGAUUAGUAAUCUUAGGACUGUGUCCAUUAGUAGGAGCCUCUAGUCAGGAGAGUUUGGGCAUG
Molecule: long non-coding RNA, 29644 nt
Filed under: Capsicum annuum
Lineage: Eukaryota; Viridiplantae; Streptophyta; Magnoliopsida; Solanales; Solanaceae
Description: long non-coding RNA (CANN_LNC003569)
Rfam family: tRNA (bases 28348-28429)
Source: RNAcentral